Molecule: unclassified non-coding RNA, 155 nt
Filed under: uncultured Ascomycota
Lineage: Eukaryota; Fungi; Ascomycota
Also listed under: 2 other names
Description: sequence contains ITS2
Source: RNAcentral
CAACCAAUCCAGCCCGGCUGGGUGUUGGGCGUCGCGGCCUGCCGCGCGCCUCAAAGUCCUCGGCGGAAGCCGCCCGUUCCUCUGCGUGAUGAUCCAUCGCCGCUUGGGAGUCGGGGGCGAGCGCCUGCACGCGUCGACGGAGACGUCGACUUCAA